Molecule: long non-coding RNA, 279 nt
Filed under: Vigna radiata
Lineage: Eukaryota; Viridiplantae; Streptophyta; Magnoliopsida; Fabales; Fabaceae
Description: long non-coding RNA (VRAD_LNC002814)
Source: RNAcentral
AGGGCGUGGGUAAAGAUGGUGACAGAAAAUGUAAGGUCAUUUUUGGCAUAUUUAAUGCGUACCAAUUUGCGGUGAAAUGUCCCAAUUGAGAAUUGGCAUAAGCAGUGAAAUGGUUGUCGGAGCACGUGGAUGGGUCAGGUUUUGUAUAAGAGACCGCACUGUCACAAAUCUCAGCCAUAACACCAACAUCUUACAUUAAUUGUGAUUCGAUGGAUACCACAUACCCACAAAUGUCUCUUAAAUACACUUACGCAUCUCACCUUUCUUCACUCUUUAUAU